RNAcentral lists this ribosomal RNA (506 nucleotides) under uncultured bacterium. Its description in RNAcentral is "partial 16S ribosomal RNA". It matches the Rfam family "Bacterial small subunit ribosomal RNA", at positions 28 to 523 of the family's 1533-position model. The record is from RNAcentral.
GAUGAACGCUAGCUACAGGCUUAACACAUGCAAGUCGAGGGGUAACGAGAGGAAAGCUUGCUUUCCUUGUCGACGACCGGCGCACGGGUGAGUAACGCGUAUCCAACCUGCCCCCAACUAGGGAAUAACCUUGCGAAAGUAAGACUAAUACCCUAUAAUUUCCUCAGAUGUCAUCUGACGAGGAAUAAAGAUUUAUCGGUUGUGGAUGGGGAUGCGUCUGAUUAGCUUGUCGGCGGGGUAACGGCCCACCAAGGCAACGAUCUGUAGGGGUUCUGAGAGGAAGGCCCCCCACAUUGGAGCUGAGACACGGUCCAAACUCCUACGGGAGGCAGCAGUGAGGAAUAUUGGUCAAUGGGCGGAAGCCUGAACCAGCCAAGUAGCGUGCAGGAUGACGGCCCUAUGGGUUGUAAACUGCUUUUAUACAGGAAUAAAGUUAGCCACGUGUGGUUAUUUGUAGGUACUGUAUGAAUAAGGACCGGCUAAUUCCGUGCCAGCCGCCGCCGUAA